UUAUGUCUUAUUAUUUUUCCUUAUAAGUUUUUAUUAAAGAAACUGUUCCUGGCUGAGGUAGCUGUGCUGUCUUAGGGAGGCUGGUCGAGUUGGAGGGGUGGCUUACAGUCGCUGACCCAGCAUCUCAGGGACGAUGGCGGAGGGAGAUAAUUGGAGCACCAACUUGCUGGCUGCAGGGACUGCAAGUCUGGAAGAGCAGCUGCAAGGAUGCGGAGAAGUGGUACUGAUGACGGAAAGUCCUCCGAUGGGAAAGAGCCUGGUCUCCACCUGCCAUCAUGGGCGUGGUUUCUUUGGUGUUUCUGAUUAUCUACUAUCUAGAUCCAUCUGUUCUGUCUGGUGUUUCUUAUUUUGUUAUGUUUUUGUGCUUGGCCGACUACCCUGUUCCCAUUCUAGCGCCUAGAAUUUUCAGCUCCAAUAAGUGGACCACCAAACAACAGCAGAGAUUCCAUGAAAUUUGCAGCAAUCUAGUAAAAACUCGGCUCAGAGCUGUGGGCUGGUGGAAACGCCUCUUCACACUAAAGGAAGAAAAGCCUAAAAUGUACUUCAUGACCAUGAUCAUUUCUCUUGCUGCGGUUGCUUGGGUGGAACAAGUCCACAACCUGCUUCUCGCCUACCUGAUAGUGACUUUCUUACUGUUGCUUCCUGGACUUAACCAACAUGGAAUCAUUUCGAAGUACAUUGGAAUGGCCAAAAGGGAAAUCAACAAGCUUCUCAAACAAAAAGAAAAGAAAAAUGAAUAAUUCAUCUGCUUUCUUCAAUGUGAUUAAUGGAGUGUACAUUGUCCCUGGGAAUAGUUUCUACUAUACUAUGUGGAUACUAAAAUGUUACAGAAGUAGCUCUUUGCUCUCCCUCACUCUGCCCGUAGUUAAUAGAAAUUCAGACUCGCCAAGUAUGGCUUUGUGCAUAGUGUCUUCAUGUCAAGUGUAGUUGGAUAUGUUCUCAUCAGUUGGCCUUAUAUGGACAACUCAUUAGUGAGUGUGGCUCACUUUGAUUUUUCUCACCCAGCGUUAAUUGAAUUCUUAGUUUUAGGCAACUUCCUUUAAAAUAACAU
Molecule: non-coding RNA, 1051 nt
Organism: Microcebus murinus (gray mouse lemur)
Lineage: Eukaryota; Metazoa; Chordata; Mammalia; Primates; Cheirogaleidae
Source: RefSeq, a predicted model, not a curated record